This is a non-coding RNA of Solanum lycopersicum (tomato), 961 nucleotides long. Lineage: Eukaryota; Viridiplantae; Streptophyta; Magnoliopsida; Solanales; Solanaceae. The record is from RefSeq and is a predicted model, not a curated record.
AUGUGAACAGAAACUUUUUCUGUAUCAUCCAAACAAACUAAUAAGAUCAGAAGCCAUGGAAACUGAGCAAUGUAAUGGCGACUUUCAAGAAGAGAUACAGAUAUUUUGGUGGAAUACUCAACUGAUUCCAUUUUCGGAAUAUCCAAAGCAUAUAUACAUAGCAUGAAAAAAAUAUCCAACCUAUAUUAAGUGACUUCAAAUUGAUAGCUAAGCAACAUCUAAGGUUGGAGGUGAGGUUCUCAAUCCACUUGGUGAGUACAGCAGAAUGUUUGCCAAGUGACAGUCAACCUUAAUGUAUUCUGUCAAUUCACGGGAUACAGGAUUUCUUGCUAUAUGUAUGGCAUACUGACUGUCACAUAAGAUUGAAGCAGGCUGAGGAAAAGACCCAUCUAACUCUCUGAACAACCUGCACAACCAAGUAAUUUCUCCAACCAGUUUUUUGAGGGAUUAGUGUUCAGAUUCUGCUGAUGAUAUGGAAAUUGUUUCUUGCUUCAAGGAUUUCCAUAUUAUAGGUCUGUUUCCUAGAAAUAAAAGGUAACCACUGAUUGAUCUCCUAGAGUCGGGACAUGUGGCCCUAUCUGAAUCACAGUAACCAAUUAUGGUGCAGUCAGGAUCAUUUGAAAGAAAAUGCCAAGUGUAGCAUAUGUCUUGAGAUACCUGAGCAAAUGAAAGCUGCUUGUGGGUGGGGUUCCCUUGGAUUUUGCAUGAACUGGCUUUGAUAUUGGACAUUAUAGGCAAUUUCAAGCUUAGUGUUUGUCAAGAAAUUUAACUUCCCUAUUAACUUUCUACAAAAGGAAAGAUAUGAUAUUGCUGGACAUUCCUUAUCUUUUCGUUUUACGGUAGAGAUCAAGAGAAGUGAAGAUGCCAAAACUAAGACAAUCAUACUCCUUCAAGUCACCACCGAACUUCCUUUGUGAGAUAAAGACUCCAUCCAUUCAGUAUAGAACUUCCAAACCCAAAA